CGGAGUUAGCCGGUGCUUAUUCAUAUGAUACCGUCAUUAUCUUCUCAUAUAAAAGGAGUUUACGCACCGAAAUGUGUCAUCCUCCACGCGGCGUUGCUGCAUCAGACUUUCGUCCAUUGUGCAAUAUUCCCCA
Molecule: ribosomal RNA, 133 nt
Filed under: uncultured bacterium
Lineage: Bacteria
Description: partial 16S ribosomal RNA
Source: RNAcentral